Molecule: long non-coding RNA, 1128 nt
Organism: Aplysia californica (California sea hare)
Lineage: Eukaryota; Metazoa; Mollusca; Gastropoda; Aplysiida; Aplysiidae
Exons: 3
Source: RefSeq, a predicted model, not a curated record
GUAGACGUGGAGUGUGUGCGCCAAAGGACGACCAGGGUACAUUGUGUACCUUUCAAGAAGAACGCGGCCCAGUGCUAAAGUUUAUUCAGUGAUACUGUGCUUUUCUCUCUUGCCGGAGGUAGAUAUAUCCUCGUGUUUCCUUGCGCGCGAGAAUCGAGCAGGGGAGGGGAGGGGAACAUUGGAGUGGAGGAAAGGGGGGUGAAAUGCUUUUAUGAGUCAGCUCAGUGUUUUUCUGUGCCGCCUCGGAGCAGAGAAGGAAGAACUGUUACUUCUGUGGCCGGGCCGACGUGCCUCUCUGACUCUGACUGUGAAAACGUGUGCCACUAUCAUCGGUCAUCACCAAAUGGCAAAUGGCUGUAGGGAGACAAACCAGUGAGUUGGAAUUCCAUACGUAAAGAGGAGUGAAAUUCUCAACGACGCCCACCACGGAGUUGUGAGCUAGGCUAGAGGGGGAUGUGAAAUUGUAAUAAUACAUACUACGUUAGCUUGCGUCUCCGAGAUUUGUUGUUCGCCCCUGCUUGCUUGGAUACGAGAGACUACCGGAUUCAGAUAGGGUUGUUGGGUUUUUUUCUUCUCUUCUCGCCUCUGUGUUGUGUGCUGGAAGUGGUAUAUAUACUCUUACAUUACAUCGAGUUUGUACCCGCUCGCUUGGAUACGUUCUACAGCAAACAGUAGGAACACUAGCGGUGCUGACGCUGUAAUCUCUCUCGUAACACGAUUUGUUGCAUAAUAUCGACAUCUUUUUCGUCACAUGUAAAGGUUGGUAAGACGAUACUGUUGUGAAUUUUCGCUGUUCGGAUUGGUGCUGACUGCGUUUGUUGAGGUGUGUGUGUGUGUGUUUGUGUGUGUGUGUUGUCAUUCGUCGGAUUCUAUCUUGCUGUUUCGAGCACGGAUAGCGUCUUCUGGAGAUUUCUCCUUGCGGGACUAGAUGGAGAAUAAUCAAGACUUUGACUUGGAGUUACUUGACCAAGAGCUUGACAAGAUAGGAGGAACUGUAAGUACAGAUAUGUUUUUAUCAUUACGUCGUGUUAGUCUGUAUGUGUGUGUGAGAGUGUCUGAGUGUGUGUGUAUGUGUAUGUCGUAUGUGUUUGUUUGUAUGUGUGUGUGUUUGUAUAUAUGUGUGAACCG